Molecule: long non-coding RNA, 699 nt
Organism: Saccostrea cuccullata (small rock oyster)
Lineage: Eukaryota; Metazoa; Mollusca; Bivalvia; Ostreida; Ostreidae
Exons: 3
Source: RefSeq, a predicted model, not a curated record
UUCGACUGAACGCUAGGGGGAUAUUAUGAACGAUAACUCCAAAUCAGCGGAAGUUGUUAGAUAUAUAGCGAAGUCCGUGCGAAGAGAUACGCGCCACACAGAACUUCUACCUAUCUUGAGCAUAGGUUGAAUUAGGACAUUACCUGAAGAGUGACAUUGUCUAGAGAAGACAUUAGUCUGACAUUUUAUCCAGUACCAUCGGGAUUUCAUUCAGUACCAUAUAUGCACAGAAUAGGAUAAAUUGUGAUAUUCAACUUGGACAAUGGGGUACAAACAUCUUCAGGAAAUGCUUUGGAAUCAUCAUCACUAAUUACUGGAAACAAUGAAUCUGUGUGAUAUUAAACUUGGAUAAUGGGAUUUACAAACUUCAUGAAAUGCUAUGGAAUCAUCAUCACUUCAUACAUGUACUGAACACAGACGUGGAUUUCUGGAUCUUUUUCACCAACAGAUUUUUUAAUCUGCCUGAAUUUUUUUUCAGCAUUUUAAGUAACAUUAUAUUUGGACCGUGGAAGAUAAAUUGUGGACUGAAUCAGUAACAGUGAUUUUUUCCAUACUUCUGUGAUUUAUAAAUACUAUUUGCAUCAAUUUCAAUAUAACUUGUGCCUGUGUUUAUUCGUUAGGAUAUACAAGCAAACUCGGAAAUAAAUUUAUGACAUCAAUUUUCAACAAGUUCUUUGUGAUAAUUUCAUCUUGGAAAUC